AUGGACGCAAGUCUGAUGGAGCAACGCCGCGUGAGUGAAGAAGGCUUUCGGGUCGUAAAACUCUGUUGUUGGAGAAGAAUGGUCGGCAGAGUAACUGUUGUCGGCGUGACGGUAUCCAACCAGAAAGCCACGGCUAACUACGUGCCAGCAGCCGCGGUAAUACGUAGGUGGCAAGCGUUAUCCGGAUUUAUUGGGCGUAAAGCGAGCGCAGGCGGUUUUUUAAGUCUGAUGUGAAAGCCCUCGGCUUAACCGAGGAAGUGCAUCGGAAACUGGGAAACUUGAGUGCAGAAGAGGACAGUGGAACUCCAUGUGUAGCGGUGAAAUGCGUAGAUAUAUGGAAGAACACCAGUGGCGAAGGCGGCUGUCUGGUCUGUAACUGACGCUGAGGCUCGAAAGCAUGGGUAGCGAACAGGAUUAGAUACCCUGGUAGUCCAUGCCGUAAACGAUGAAUGCUAGGUGUUGGAGGGUUUCCGCCCUUCAGUGCCGCAGCUAACGCAUUAAGCAUUCCGCCUGGGGAGUACGACCGCAAGGUUGAAACUCAAAGGAAUUGACGGGGGCCCGCACAAGCGGUGGAGCAUGUGGUUUAAUUCGAAGCAACGCGAAGAACCUUACCAGGUCUUGACAUCUUUUGAUCACCUGAGAGAUCAGGUUUCCCCUUCGGGGGCAAAAUGACAGGUGGUGCAUGGUUGUCGUCAGCUCGUGUCGUGAGAUGU
This 713-nucleotide ribosomal RNA is filed under the name Lacticaseibacillus rhamnosus. RNAcentral's name for it is "bacterial SSU rRNA". It matches the Rfam family "Bacterial small subunit ribosomal RNA", at positions 371 to 1075 of the family's 1533-position model. The record is from RNAcentral. Lineage: Bacteria; Bacillati; Bacillota; Bacilli; Lactobacillales; Lactobacillaceae.